CGCACGGGUGCGUAACGCGUAUGCAAUCUACCUAUAACUGAGGGAUAGCCCAUGGAAACGUGGAUUAAUACCUCAUAAUAUAAUUUCUUCGCAUGUUGAGAUUAUUAAAACUCCGGUGGUUAUAGAUGAGCAUGCGUCCUAUUAGCUAGUUGGUAAGGUAACGGCUUACCAAGGCGACGAUAGGUAGGGGGCCUGAGAGGGUGGUCCCCCACACUGGUACUGAGACACGGACCAG
RNAcentral lists this ribosomal RNA (235 nucleotides) under uncultured bacterium. RNAcentral describes it as "partial 16S ribosomal RNA". It matches the Rfam family "Bacterial small subunit ribosomal RNA", at positions 99 to 334 of the family's 1533-position model. The record is from RNAcentral.